UCUGAGGUGUAUUGCAAGUG
This 20-nucleotide non-coding RNA is filed under the name Arabidopsis thaliana (thale cress). The record is from RNAcentral. Lineage: Eukaryota; Viridiplantae; Streptophyta; Magnoliopsida; Brassicales; Brassicaceae.